AUUUGAAAUCUAACAAUUGGAAAAAAAUUGAAAUACAAGAUGGAUAGAAAAAUGAGAAAAGAGAUCCGGGAGCAUGCGAUCGAAGGAACGAGCUAAUCUUCGAUUCCGUUCGAAUAUCAGUCCGGUCUGUUAGGUUUAAUUUCGUUAAUCAGGACGCGUCUCGAUCGAACGAGCUUCGUGAGCGGAGCCGAAAGGAGAAAGGCAUUCUCCGUCGUCCGUGGCCGCUGCAUCCGCGCCAAAACUCGCAAAACGCCGCGGCGCGGUGGCGACGGUGGCGAUAGGUAAAAGAUAGAGUAAGAGAGAAAGGGAGGGGAGGGGAAGAAAGAACGGCAGAAGCAACCCGGCCUGGUCUCGUAUAUAGCGCGGCGAGGUGGGAAACUAGACCGUGACGAAUCACGGUCGGCGACUGCGCCGCUCUGACGUCACGUCGCGAAGGGCGAACCGUCGCAAGUGUUCGUGAUUGGGCAUCUUUUAUCCUCGUCCUGCGCCCAGCCGCCGCCGCCGCCGCGAUAGCGCAACGGGGACGAAUCGAAUUAAUACGAUUGCCACUUCCGAACACCGUCGCUACCACGGUCCGGCAUCGCUUCAAUGGAUUCACGAGCUUCGUGACCUCGAACGAUCUCGAUUUCUUUCGCGAAUAGUUUCAACUUAGCUCCAGUUAGCUCAAAAUAUUAUUCAAUUCUACAUCGUGAUACGAUCGCACGCAGUGGAAGAAUAAUAACGGACAUUAAAGAUCGUAAUUUUACAAAUAUUUAUAAACGAUCUACCAUAAAAUUUUCCACUACACUAUAAUAUAGUCAUUAUAAAUAAAAAUAAUGAUCUAAUUGCGCGUAACACGUUAUGAUCUUAAUAUUAUUCUUUCUAUUGGCUAUAAAAUAUAGGCUGUUAAAUUGUUGAUGCUUUUUCGGAUAGAUAACGCAACAAGUUUUUCUUCGAUUCUAAAUUUACUAUCCGAAUAAAAAGGAUGGGAAUAUUUUUAAGGAUUUGUGAAUAAUUUCCACGAAAUCGUGUUAUGGUGGCACGACAGGGUUAGUGACCCUAAUAGCAGGUACGAAUCAUUGCUCAGAGAUUACGUCAUAUAGUAGCGCCAUAUAAUACACUAUAUCGUGCAAUACAUAAAACUUAUCCAUCUAUUCAAUUUAAACGAGAAUAUACGCAGAUCAAUUUCGUUUCUAAAACGACAUUCCAACGAUCAAAAAGAUUCGUAUCUACACAAAAUCUCAAAAUAUACACAUAUAUACGUUCUCCUAAUAACGCGUAACAAAGCAUAGGCAUUAAAAAAACAAUAAAGCUAAAAACAAACAAAAUCCUUUAUUAUAUAGCUCGAUUCUCGUACGAUCUAAAUCAGUAGAGGCGCGCUUUAGGAACGUUUGGCGCGGUCGAGCAAGAGCGUCGGGAGUUCGAUCCUAAAAGCGGUGGCGAGCAAGUGGGCUGGCAAGCGAGAGCGGGGUGCUUGGCCCUGGCAGCGAGAUUGUGGCACAGAAACGCGUUCGCCUCGAAGGAACGCUGUCGUUCGUUUCGCGCGUGUGAGCGUGAGCACGUACGUGUGUAUAUAUAUACAUAUACGUGUUCACGAUGUAUCGCGCGCGCGCACACCACAUCGCGAUCCAUCCGGCGAUUUCGUCGUUUCGAGCUGCUUCCGGCGCUGAUACGGGGAUUUUCGAGGAGAAACUCGUGUGGCUGCCUCGUGUACGGACCAUUCGUGCAUGUUCGUUCGAGCGGUCGCGCGCGCAAUUACGUCAGCCGCGUAACGCCGUGCAAACCGAUCGCGGCGCGCUUUUAGCGCGCGUGUUUCGUAAGCGCGAAAGAUCGCAGCGUCACGGCACGGCCUUAGACGUUUGUUCACGUAUCGAGCGUGUCCUUAUAGAACGGCAAAGGACGCGAGUUUCUCGCAUGGCCGGUGUUCGAGGCCGAUCGAAUAUACCUAUCCCACUCUCAUUAAUAAUCGAUUCGUAUCGACGUUCUACGAACAUAUAUAUAUAUUCUUCUAUCCAAUAAAGACGUUUGUAAUUGUUGUUUAUAAUUGUCGUUAUUGUUGGAGUAUUUUUUAUUAGUUAAAGCCAGAUGACAGGGUGUUUAGAUAGUUAAAGAGUAACGAUAAUAGGCAAAGGCGGGAUACAGCCAAGGGCUGCUUUGUAACCCAACCUCGUGUUUACGUAAGUGGAGAAUUUAACGUUGCAUAACGUACCCGUCGAAGUAGUAUUCGGUAUGACAAAUAUUGAGAUUUCGUGCAAGGUAUCGCGAGACUUUUAACACAGGAAAAAUGAUAAAUAAUGUGGGCAUAAUUGGCAUAUAUGAAAGCUACUUAAUGCAUCGAUAAUAUAAAACUAAAAAUAAAAUGGCCACCACUGCGGAAUGUUUUCUUCGGUCACGCUACGACAAUUAUUUAUAAACUUUUCAUCCCAAACUUACGAUUGAUGGAAAAUGGAAGAGCGUAGUAGUGAUUGUCGUAAAAAAGGGGUCGAUAUACUUUUUUUAAGAUUUUUGAAAAACAUGAAUAUAUAUAUAUAUAUAUAUCGGUAUGAUUUCUACUUUGUCAAUUUCGAAUCAAUAAGGGAGAAUUAUUAACGACAAAAGAUUCAGCAAACUCAAUUUGUUCUAAUGUUUAACGAUCUUAAUUCCGCAUUAAUGUUCCGCGGUACGGAAUUAGCCGCGUGCUUGUUCGGUUACUCAGCGAGUUAAGCAGCUUACCGGCCAGAAUUUUAGUCGAAUACAACGGACAACGGUUCCUGGCUGAAUAGGAAUAUCGUGAAAAGGUAAAAAAAAAAGAGAAGCGUAUCGCGUAAAUCAUACGAUAAAUCGGAAAGUAAUAACAGUCAAGAGUAUUUGAAGCGGUAUGGAAUUGAAAAACAAGAGGUUUCCAGAGGUGGCUCACGCGACGUCGCGUCGGAAACGCGCCGAUAAAGAUAGCCGCACGCUAUUAAUGUCCUCCUGCUCUUAAUUAACGUUAAUUAAUACGUUCAGUCUGAAUCUAUUUGUCGGUCUCUAAUAAAGCCUGUUACGGCCAAUUUUAAUCGGUAUAAUACCAGACUGCACUUUUUCCUGUCUCUUGAUUCCGGCCUAAGAAGAAUCGAGUUUUACCCUUUCCUCUUCAAUUCGUGAUUUUUAAUCCAAUUCGACAAAAAAAAAUAAAUAAAAAUAUAUCCACGAUCGAUAAUAUGAUAUGAUUUAACAAAUUAUCAUAUUAUACGCGACAAAAAUAUUUGUCAAACCCGUUAAAAAUUUCGGGCCGGAUAUACGUUGUAUGGUGGCGCGCCACCAAUUACUAAUUAGCAAUUACGUAAAGCGAGCCGUUCCACCGCAAAUUCAGUAGAGGCAUCAGAGCCAUACCGGGUCCACCCUAAAGUCGGUCCUUGGUCAUUAGACCCGGUGAGCGCAUUAACCUCGAACCCAUUCCUGGCCCAUCGCCUCGUGCGCGCCGCCUCUCUAUGCCCGUAUAUAUACACCCAUACUAGAGACGCGGCUGAACGCGCCUGCCUACGAUAUAGGUGGAGCAGGCUAAGCGACUCUGUCGGACGCAUAACGAGCCACGACUUUACGGUAGUCUCCUUCGUCGCACGACUCGCUAAUUCUUCGCUCGGACGCGGUUAGCGGCGGGCACUACCUCCCCCCUCCCCCCUCCGAUUGUACGGGUGCACGCAUGCAUACAAUCAACGCGCGCGUACACGUACAACGCGAGCGAGCGAGCGAGGAUAAGCACGGACACGAUUAGAUGUAAUUGUGCGUAGACGCAAACAUAGGUGAAUCUCUGGACGACACGAGCAAUGAUGUAAGGGCAACUAUGCACAGGUCGAUUUGUCGUUGGAAUCGAUUCACGGGCAGAUCGUUCGGAUGCAAUGAAGUAACAAUGGAUUUAACGAUAGGUGAUAUAUAUAUAGUAUAUAUAGGAUCUAUAUAGUUACGUUCGACAUGCACUAUAUAUAUAUAUAUAUACAUUGGACGCAGCGCGUCUUUUUCUCACGCGAGCCCGGCGCGGUCCACCUCGUGUACACAGAGAUAUGGGCGCGCACACAAGCGAGCGCGAGAGAGUGUGAAAUAACGCGAGGUGAUGGUAGAGGACAAAGGCUGAGCGCGACGCGAGUACUAGGGACUAGGCAGGAACCAGAGUGUUCGUGCGCUGAACGAGCGAGAGACACGGGGCCGUGCGACCCACGGGGGAAGGGGGGGGGGAGAGGGGGCAGGAGAAAGGGGAACAGAGUCGAGGGGGCUUCUUCUCCCUCGCCGCCACUUCGAGGGAAAAGGAGGGUGACCGAAACGAAGGGGGAGAUCGGUGGGAUGGAUCGAGAAAGCGAGGGGGAAAGAGAGAGAUAAACGGAGAGGGAACGAAACGGUACGAAAUGGGCGGGAAAGAGAGAGGUCCGAGGUAGGCGAGGGAGGGAAAGGGACGGGGACGGAGCGCGAACGCGAACCCGCGGGUUCUAUGCCAUUCGGUCGGUUCGGUGAGUCACGCAUCGCGAGCUUCCUGCUGCCAGGCCUCUGCUUUCCCCUCACGUCCCACCCUUUGAACCGCGCCGGACCCCUUGGUUCGCGUCUCGCGCCACUGUUAUCCUCCCCCGUCCCCAAUCCUCCCGGGCUCCCGCCCGAUCCCUUUUGUCUGACGUUCGUUCGUCCGACCGACCGACCGACCGUUCGACCGUCACCCGCAGGGUUAAGGGUCUUCUAAAGAGGAUGCUUCUCUCUCGUCUCUCUCUCUCUCUCUCUUUCUCUUUCUCCUUUUCCCUCCCCGGUGUCUUGUCAGCGUCUCUGCUCUCUUCUCUUUGUCUAUCCAACUCCGUCUGUGCUGCUUUCUCUCUCUCUCUUUCUCUCUCCAAGUUGCCAACACUGGUGCGCCUCCGGUAGGUGAGUUAGCGACGGUGGUAGUCGGUUGCCUGCUGAAAGAUUCGAAAGAGAUCCAGACUUGGCGUUUCAAAAGAACGUCGCGUAUUUUCGGCGGAUUGAAAACGCGCCGGUGUGCAACGCGGCAUCUGCUGCCCUCGGGAUGGGAGAGAGAACCGGAGCCACGAAAGAACGAUGGUAUAUAGUAGCGCGCAGCUAGGGUUGUACAAUGGCUGAAACGCUUAAACGCGGCGACACGAACGUCAAGACCCACUCUCCGGAAAUCUAUAGCGUCAUCGUAUCGAUCGUUCCGCGAACUAGUUUUCCUUUAAGCUCGGCUAACGUCUGGCUUAAUCGACCGGAGAUGCGGUUGUUAAUUGUAUAAAAAUGAGAAUUUUACACCGAGUUCCAUGGAUUCUUGAUUAAUUGCGCGAUGGAUCACGGUUAUCCAGAUGUAAAUCGAACUCUUUUCUCUUAGUAUCGUCGUUGAAAAAGUUGGUCGACCGUGUCCCUAUUUAUCAUGAGCCGCGGCGACGCCUCCCGUACAUCGAUGCGUUCUGCCGGCCUCUCGAAUGUAUAAUGAGCACUGGGUGGCUCGAAUUCGAUAAGAGUCGGUUAGGCGGUGCUUCGGAAUGACGUAUCACCGCGCGAGAUUAAUAGUAGCCAUGUAUACGUACACAGACAUGGCCACACGCGAUCGCGCGUAGUCUCUGACCGACCUGGCUCAACUUCGACAAGCAAAUUCUUUCACGCGAAUCUCUAGUUAAGUCUUUCUUUCGUCGAACGCAUAAUCGAAAUCUAGUCUCGUCUUGACAUUUACGCGAAUGUCAAGUUUCACACAUCUUCGAAUACGAUUAUCAAACGAUAACGAGAUCAAUCAAGUAUACACAUAUACAUACGAAAAGUAGCGUAGAUUAUCUAUUCAGAAAAUUUAUAUAAUACAAGCUAAAGAAAUUUCAUAAAUGUUUUUUUAUUCGACGUGAGGUGUCCGAAUAAUGAUUAUUGACAAAUAUGUUCCAAUACUUUCGAACAUUUCAGGCUUCUCCCCUUGUGAUAAUCGUAAAUCCCCUACCUCAAAGUGAGCGGUCCGCAAUACACAGGAUUUUUUGCGCCGCUUAGUCACUGCGCGCCGCGACCGAUGACGGUUAUGUUCGAGCGACGACCAAGUUUGUGUGUAUGCGCGAGAUGCGCGCACACAGUGGCGCGCGACCACGCGUUUGUCGGCAAAACUUCGCGUGGUAAACGCGCUUCUUUGUGCCAAUGACGUAGUAGAAGAAACCUGCGUCUAUAUAUCCUCAAAGUUUAUCAAUCACUGAUCAAAACAUCGCAAAUUUUUCCUAUAUCGAUUUUAUCCGUAUCGACGAAAUUGAUGAUUCCAGUAUAUCUUGAGAAGAGCGACGAGUGUCCAAUACAUGAAAAUAUAUCAUUACACGAAACGUGCACACACACACAGAGUUAAAUUUAAUGAUUCAUGUCGCGAAAAUUUGUCAGACCAUUUCGAUUCGCAAGACAAAUAAAUUGAAUUUUAUUAAAUUUUAUACGAUUAAGACGAUAGAAAGAUAAAAAAAGGAACGGACGGACAGAAAUAGCGAACGCAACAAAGAAAUUGUUGACGAGAUCGGAAGAAGCGGGUAUAUCCGGUCAAACCGGGCAGCUUGGUUCGGAGAACGUAGUAAAUUCUUGUCGCGUCGUUUCGCCGCGAUAGGACGAGCAUUGAGAGCAGUCGAACGUCGCUCGGACGCGAACGGGCAAGCCGCGAGCGACAUAUCCGGAUCGUGCGAGGCAAACGAAAACACCGCGAGUCAACAUUUGUACGUACAUACGUACACGCGCGCGCGCGCGCGCACAGCGUACACACAAAUGUGACGGGUUAUUUUAUAUAUAUAUAUAUAUAUAGUUAAGUUAUACAUAAGUUGGGUUGACAGUCAAUGAAGGUUAGUCUUCUAUACGCGUCGUGAGAGCGGCGUGAUGUAGCUUUUACGGGCCCCUCGGGCCACACGAUCGUCGAUCGCUGUGGCAUGCGGGUCCCGCGAGGAGAGCACGAGAGGUGGAAGUGUCGCACGCAGCGGCGACCAGCUGCUCUCCUCACGAUGUGCCACAGGGCGUCGUCGCGUCGCGUCCUUUUCUUUCUUCCCUCUUCUCAUCUUAUCCUCCUUUUUCCUUCCUUUCUAUAUCCUUUCUGGACAUUCCCGUUCCCCCUAACGCGUGCUGUGCGUGCGUGCGUGCCUGCCUGCCUGCGUGCGCGAACUCAAGUUCGCACAAAGGGGAUAUGGGUAUAUAACGCGACGGAGGCCCUCCGUAGUAGUGGUCAAUAUACAACUACGCGGCAACGUCGCGCCACGACGCGUUGCUUUCCUGGUAUACGUUAUCGCCGCAGUCGCUUCACGAGAGCCUCCAUGCGCACACGUAAACACGUACACAUUUACUUACGGAACGCAUCGUACAUACUAGCAUGUAUCUCGUAUACGGACAGGCGGAUACUACACACGGGGAUAUAUAGGUGUAUAUGUACCUGGGCCUGCCUGUCGAUCCCUCGGGGUUCGCUUCUCCUCGCACGUACACGCGAAGUCGUGGCAAUGCCAGAACGAGCGAGCGAGCGAGCGAACGAGCGAGCCAGCCAGCCAGCCGCGGCGGCACGGAUGCGCCCUGCUUACGUAUACACCGGUCCUUCUCUCCGUCUCGCUUUCGCCAACCGGUCCUUCCUCUUCCUACGACCGAGGCCUGGCAAUAUAAGCCGAGUAAUAUUACCGCGGGAAGAGCGGUAAGGUAACAGAGAGCCGCUGCUACGGACCGUUCCUUUCGAGAAUUUACGAGCACCACGGUCCGGGUGCCCGGAGACCGACCCUUCCCUUCUCUCUCGCUCUCUUGCGCUAUCUCGCUCUAUAUACCCUCGUCUCGCGUGUAUAACGUAGCUGCGAAACGGCACCGCACGGACCGUCAGCGUUUCCGUGCUAUGCUUGGAACUUGGGCUCGCUAUGCAUCUCGAAUCUACGCGCUUCCAUGCGGUACGCGUUCACGAUUGCCAGACGAUGGACAUCCUUAUUAGCAGCGAGAAGUUGGCGAUGGUAAAAGCGAGUUGCUUUGCUUCAUAAAGAUAUAUAUGUAUAAUUGGAGUGUUUACGCGUAAAAGCGUUCCGAAUUAACCACUGCGCACGAAUACAAACGAAUCAUUUAUGCGAAGGGUAACAGUAUUCUCCAUUGGUGUACGUUAUGUGUAUAAUAGUUAUUGGAUGUUUCUAUAUGGAAUCGAACCGCACUUCAUACCAUUCAUGUUUCUGUGUCGAUGGAUCAAUGGCGGUGUUUCCGUUGUGAAACGCUCGCGGUUUUCCCUUCCCAUAUCGAUAACGAACAUCUGUAUUUGAGAUAAAGAUAAGGAAAAAAUGGCGUGAAGAUACAGUAUUGAUAGACAAUUUGGCGUAACUUGUACGUAAAAAUUGAAUCAAACGAUAUAUAUCGAUUUCAAUCUUGAUACAUUUCACAUGCAAGUUUUUUGGACAGUUGUACAUUUUCUCUUCCGUUCAAUCUUGUUGAUUUUCAAGAUCAUCGAAUUUGCUACAGUUGGCGAAGGGAAGAGAUUUCUUUCGGUCGGUGCUAAACCGGCUCUCUUUUAAAACACCCAAAAUGUUUCAUACUGCGCAAACUUGCGCGCAUCUUGCACGCGUGCUUCUAUUUGCUCGCAUUUGAUCGCGCGCAUGUAUACGCCACGCAGACGGAAAAAACGUAAUGGGCGAUGAGAUAAGAAGGGGAGGGAUGGAGGACAAAGAUGGACACGAGAAAGUACGCGAGCAAAAGAAAGAAAAAAAAAAAAAAAGAUAAGAAAAAGACGUGCGAGCGAUCGAGCAUAACAACACCAACGAUGGCGAGGACGGCGAUGAAUUCGAUUUAAACCAGUUUUUACAAGAUCGAUUACUAGGUAUGAGAGGAUCGACAUGUGGAAAUUAACGUUUCGUUGCGCGGUACGAUAAUCUAUGACAUUUUAAAAGUUAAGGUGGUAUUUAGACCUGGUCGACACAGUUUAAGUCGCCUCAGUUUCCCCGAUUAACCGGCUUCUAUUUAAAUUUCAGCGCGUCCCUUGCGCGCUUAUUACACGUACAUAGAAGAUGUUGCCCAGACGGAAUAUAAAAAAAGAGAAGAGAAGAAAAAAGAGCGAGAAAUGCGUACGCGGUAAACGUACGUAAGAACGAUGAGAAUGAUGAAAUCCAGCGAAACGAAGAAUACUACAACGACAAGGAUGACAACGAGGACGACGACCAUGAUGACGACAACGCAACGACAACGAUGAGGACGGUCGCAAAUGGCGGUGGCGGUGACGGCGAAACGCGACGCGACGCGACGCGGCCCGGACUCGCGGACCCUCACAUCCUGUCUAUGACAGGAUGGCUGAUGGCUGGUUGGCUGGCCGGCCAGUCUGUCGGUCGGCUUGGCAGGGCCCUACCCACGGUACAUGUGCCAGUGCCCUGUUCGUGCCGCCGCGUAUACGCUACCCUCCUCGCUUCGCCUCUGUCUCCCAUGCUCCCUUUACGCUUAUCCCUGCGCGUCUCACGGAGGCCUGUUACUCUUUCUCUCGGUAAAGAACGAAGAACCUCGAUCGGAGGCAUUUUUUCUUUACUGGCACAGCCGGCCACCGUCGCGGCAGUCACCGCCACCAUUGCCGACGCCACGCCACGGUAUCGAAUCGUCUCGCCACGGGGUACGUAUGGACGGAGAACGCGAGACGGAGAAAGAAAGAAAGAAAAAAAAGAAGAUAAAAAGAACGAGCGGUGAAACGGCUAGAAGCGGGACGAAGAUCGCGAGACAUGCGGGGAAUCGAGUUAAAGGGAGCGAGAGAGAGAGAGAGAGAGAGAGAGAGGGAGCGAAGUGGAAAGAGCGAAAGAGAGAGAAGGGUGGAAUAAGGUGGGGCGGCGCUUUCCAAUCGCGAAGCGAGGCUCCUCGCGUUCCGACGACGAUCGAAAAAGGUGAGACGUGCCGAAGGGGAUAUAGGCGCGGACAAUGAAGCGGAUGAGAGCGACGCAGACCGAGCCACUAAAGUCUGACGGAGCAUGAGCUCGUGGGAGAAAGAAAGAUGGAUAGAGCGCGACCGAGCAGAGUGUCGGAGGCAGAAGGAAACGCUAGGGCGGGAAAGAGAGGGGACAAGGCGAGAACGUGACGAGACGACGGAGGGAGCCGAGGGGAUCGCGGACGGUCGAGCGACGACGAUUUGGCAACGGCUUUUAUGGCUUUCGUUGCGAUCGGCUGGAAACGGCACUGCACACCACGCUGCUGGCGGACGUUGAUGCCUCUCCUCGUGUCGAUAGUACGCGUCUGGUGUACGUAUUUCGGAAAUGAGGCCGGUGCGUAUUCUGAAAACGAAGAAAACGCCGCGCGCGGUAGACGGAGAGGGGAUGCAAAUGCUCUUUUGGCCGCGCAGCGUUAUACCAGUCGCUAAUGUCGGUAUUAGGGUCAAUAGUGCUAGCAGACACAAAUUAAGUCCUGCUCGCGACAGCGUCGCCGAACGUUUAUCGCGACCAAGAAUAAUGAUUUGAUUACGUAAAUCGUGUUAACGGUUCUCGUAAUCCAUCGAUAUAUCUCUUUUCUUAAUUUUUUUUUUUAACGAAAUAUUUCUCGAUUCGUCGAAUAUUUAAUUUUUCGCAUUCUCAUUCUUCCGUGUAUUUAUAGCGAUGUCAUAAUUCGAGGAAAGAAAUUGCGAGAAAGCUGUGUUGGGAAAAUAUGGUAUUCGUUUUUUAAAUACAGAACGAGUGACGUAAGAGAAAGAUGGAAAGAAUCGGCAGCGUGAUGUCGAACGAGAGAGCGGAGGACACAUCCGGUUGUCUCGGAUUGACCGGGAUCGGUCGCGGUAAAGGAAAUCCGAACCCUUGAGAGCGAAGACGAGAGCGAGAGCGCUGCGAGGGCCUAUAUUCACAGACGUACCUGCGGGAAACUGUAACUACCGGCAGACUGGAAGUAUUAUGAGAGAAGGGUGGGAAGGUGGGGAGAAGCUGGAGUGCAAGAGAGAAAGUGGGAGGCGGAGAGAGAAAGAGGACGGGAGGAGGGAGAGAGAAUAAACUGGGUCAGUGUCGCGGAACUUGAAAACUUCGCUUCCGUAAUGUGAGAGCGGCGCUGACUGCCGCCUGGAAGUCGCUUAAACUGCGUUUACGAGUCGGCGGUAGGUAAAACAGAAACACCUCGAGAACUCGAGUCGAGUUAUACCUAGUUAUGUGUAUAGUUGUCUAUAUGAAAGCGGUAUACGUAUCUGCUAUGUGUGUGUGUUUUAUAUAUAUAUAUAUGUAUGUAUGUAUGUAUACGUAAUAUACAGUGUACGGAACCGGGAAAGAGACAGAGCGAGAAAGCGAAUCAGAGAAAGAGGAAAAAGGAGAGAAUCGAGUCAGUGGAAGACAUGUACGAAUGUACAAACUAAAACCCGCCUUUCCCCGCGCACAAUCGAGGAGUCUCGUUUGUUAUACCGGCAUUUCCACUGGCGUGCUUCAUUGUACACAAGUUUUCUCCCCACGUGCGCGCUGUAUUAUAUCGCGAACGUUUCCCGCCACGAUUCAAUGUCAACCGCUACGCGACUAUACGUCGAACGCAAGGAACUGGCGGAAGGUCUGACAAGGUCACUAUUCCACGCGUUCGUUUGACGCGCCGAAGGAGAAAGUUCGCUCGUGAAUAACGCGUCGAUCGCGUUGAAAAAAAAUUAGCCGCGAUGUCGAUUAUUUCCAACUUGAAAUUUUUUCCGCUCAAUGGUAAAUAAUCGAAGGUAUAUAGUACAGCUUUCACUGAACAUUUGCAUUUUGCUUUAAUAACCGAGAUGUGUGUUCUAUUCCUGCGAAAAACCGACGAGGGAAAAUGUUCGAGAGAACGGGAAGGGACACGAACACACGAUAGCAUGGAUAAGAGGGAAGGGAAAUGCGCGCCCACGUAUAAACGCGUAUAUCGUGCACGUAAGCCUGAAAACACGGUGGCGUUAGCGCUUGUUGACGCAGAUAAACCGUCGGCGUAAUGUUAUAUUUAUAGUCUUUUCUUGUUCGCGGCUCGUUUUUUUUUUUUUUUCUUUAUUUCUUUCGAUUUUCAGAAUGAAUUUUUCGAAAGUUUUACGCUCUUCGUCGAGUUAUACUCGAGAAACGAUUUCGCAAGAAAAACGUCCAAGAUAAGAAAAAUUCGAAAUUGAGAAAUCUAUUCGGAUACGAAAUCUUUUUGUUGUUAUCGCGGUACAAUCGAUAAUCGCUAAUUACUGGCGCGCUUUAUUUUCGAUUUUCAACAUUCUACGCGUAUUCGACCGAACUAAGGUGGGAAUGACGAAAAUAAGAAUAGUGUUGGUGCGUUCGAUAAACCGCCAUCUUUCACCGGUGGAGACCGUUUUACACGCGAACGUGAUCGCAAGACUAAAAAUUAGGGAGCGCGAAAGCGUGGGUUAAAAAAGGGGCGAUGAGAUCACGGUAGCUCGAGCUCGGUUCGCGUCGCAACCUUACUUCGCAAGCGGGUGCCGUUAAGCACGUCUGGGUCUAAAUAACCUCUGGUAUAUCGAACCGUGCCAGAGAAUCCGCGAGCGGAGGACCCGCGAGUGACCGUGCGCGUCGCCAACCACGAAGGUCUCGCUCGCAAUUGCGAUCUCGUUUUCUCGUUUAAUAACUAAAUCAGGGAGACAAGACGCAGGAAAAAAAAAAAAAAAGAAAAGGCGAUGAAAAUUAUAAAAGAAAAGAGGAAAAAAAAAAAUGUUAAGAAGAUAUAAUUGAUAGGGCACAUCUUUAUAUACAUACGUAUAUAUAAAAUGCUUGUAUCUAUAUAUAUAUAUAUAUGCAUACAAGGGCGAUUGUGACAAAUACACGUGCGAACUCUCCUAAAAGUCGAAGCGAGUUAAAAAUAGGAGCGUAGAGCGUAAAAAUAAGAAAGAAAAUGACAGAGAAUCGCGGAUAGGAAGUCGCACUUACGUGGACGUAACGCGUACGUAAGGCUGAAAACACACGAUGGGCAGAGGUGUGGAACGUUUCCUCCCCUUCUCCUACGUGCCCCUCGACGUAGUACCUCGAUCUAGUAUCCCCCGACAUCCUCGCCGACCCUCUCAUCACCGAGGUGCGAGGUUGAGCGUAGAUCGAGGGAGUCUAACCAGCGGGUGGCCGAUAGGGGGUCGGGGGGGAGGGAGGUCGAAGAAGAGGGUGGACGACGAGGCUCUCGGCGUUGGGGUGAGGCGCGGCACGACGGUGGCGCGGCCGGCGGGCGGGCGGGGAGAGGGGGGACUCGAGCGGGGGAGAGCAGUGGGAGGAGAAGGAGGAUAGGGCAGGCCGUUAUUUAGCCGGCCGCGCGCGCGUCCCUUCGCGACCGACCCGACUCAGCCGCGCCGCCCUUCACUCGCCCUCGAGCGCCGCUGUGCUCUGCCGCCCCCUCAUCGCUCACGCCCGACUCGACCACCUCUGCACCCUCCUUCCGCCCUCACCCUACUAUCCGACAGCCACCUCUAGCUCCCACACCCUUCGCGCGUUCGCCCUUUUCUCCCUAGCCAUCAACCUUCCCUCUUCGUUCCGCCCGAUCCGUCCCUUCCUCUCUCCCGCUUCGCAACUUCUUCCCCCCUCCCCCCCCCUUUUUUCUUCCUUUCCACUCUCUCUCCUUUUUUCCCCUCUUUUUUCUUCUAGCCAUCCCUACUUCCGUCCUCGUCGCUCUCGCUCGCCACUCGGUCGUCUACUCGUCUCCGUUCCCAUUGCCCUCGCCUGUUCGGGACACGCGGCGGUACCGGCUCACGCGGCGGUUCUUCACGCUGCCCCGACUCGCUAUCUCCGUUUAUCUAAGCCCGACCCUCCUCGUCAGCUCCGUCGUCCUCGAUCGGUCGUCUCGCUCGAUCGCGGCCACUUUUUCUCGCUCGGUCUCCUAUCUCUGUCCAUGGUGAGCGCGCCGCCACGGUUCUGCCACGGAAAACCUCGAGACUCGUUCGUUCGUCCGUCCACGGCGUGGCUCUCUCCGACGUUGGCCGUCCGUCGUUCGCCGAAAUCCCGUGCUAAUUAAAGCCCGCCUCGAUGCCCGUCGCCGGCCGGGGCGAGGAGAGAGAGAGGCGUCCUCCCUCCUUCUCCUUCCUCUAUUUCCUUUCGCUCUAACCGCCGUUCGCCGCGUCUCCAUCUGUCCCAAUCUCUCGCCCCGUCCUCGUCCAACGCACUCUAUCGGUGUCUCCGUCCCUCUCCGCCGACUUUUGCCGCCGUUCCCUCGUUCCGCCCGGCUCGAUCCGCCCGCCCCGCCCCGCGCCUCGCCUCGCCGCCCGCCCGUGUGCUCGUCGCGCCGCGCCACGACCGCGCGCGCACCAAGGAGAAAAUUAAGAAGACUUCGGAGCCGGCUCCUUCAGUCCAUUGUGCCGCGUAUACACGACGAGAGGAGAGCCCGCCGUCCCCGCGCGUAACGGUACUCGCGCGGCAGACGACGACUCGAUGCCUCUUCUCUCUCUCUCUCUCUCUCCUUUUUUUCUUCUUUCCUCGGCUGCCGCUUCGCUGUGCCCCUCGUCGCCCCAACCGGCCCCUUCCCCCCCCUGCCCUGCGCUUCGCUCAGCUGUCUCUUUGUGUGUUGGACGCGGGUAUCGCGUGCACACACGGACCGAACGAGCGGCUGCUGCCUCGAUACGACGCGAUCGCUCGCGUACCAACAACGAGCCGAACGGUUUCACACGUAUAGGCACGAUCGAGUGUCAGAUGGGUAUACACAGUGGAAUAAAAAUAACGCGACUCUUUUAGAGAUCGAAAAUAAUAACAGCGCGGUAAUCACCGUGAUAAUGAACAACGAAGAAUGAAACGUAACUAUGUUGCCAUCGAUCGUACACGCAUAUAUCUUUUAAUAAUUGCCAUUUUUAUCCACGCUUAUGUAAUCGAUUAAUCAAUAAGUCACACGUUUUUCAAAUAUCAAACUGAAUCGAAUUCUCCAUUUCGAUCCUUGAAAAACAAAUAUUGACUUUUACAAUCUCGAUACAAGUAUUUCCAUUAUUCCCUAUCUUACGAGAUGUAUAUCUUUCCCUUUUUAUUCUCGACGCGUGUAAAAACUUUCUUUAUUUUCCGUCUCACCCUAUAGACGCGUAGAAGAAUACAACUAAGCGCGAGGCGCCCGCCGAGAUAAACUCGUGCUCUGCCUUUUAUCUAGAUACAUUCCUCGCGCCUCCUCUCGCGAGACCGCGCUCUCCGCUCUCCUCUCCUCUUCCCUCCUUGCCUCCCCUCACACCGAGCGGGCGUCGUCGUGGUCGUGGUCGUCGUCGUCGUCGCCGGUUGUCGCGGUAUCGCGACCCGUGGCAGCCGGGAGGGGAUGUUCUCGAUGCGUAUAUCCCGGCAGCGGCACUCUGUCGCCGGACGAAACAACGAUACGGAACAACGUCAACGACGACGACGACGACGACGACGACGACGAUGACGGCGACGACGACGACGAUGUGGAUGGAUAGGAAUUGUAGAUACGCGGUCAGCGUUUGCCUCGUCCGCCACAGUUUAUCUGCGACGCACGAGCUUUCUUCCUGUUAGCCGGCUACGAUUCGAUUAAACGCGGCCUUCGUGGGUUUUUCCGCUGAGCUAGGCCUCUUUAAUUCGCGUGUGCCCGCGCGCUAUAACUGGUCACGCUUUCGCACCAUCGAUGACGCACCGAUGUCUCUUCUCUCCUCGAUUACGAUUACGGCUUGUAUCUGAUGCUGUAAAAGUUUAUAUCGUGGAGAGAUUUAGAUUAUAUUGUAUUGAAUCGAAGUAUUUAAUUUUUAGUGGAAUUUGAAAUAGUAUUCUUGAAUUAAACGAUGUUGAAAUAUAAUUUGAAAGGUAUAUAUUGAUAUACAAGUGUUAAAUUGUUCGUAACGUUUUAUGAGUUUGCUAAUAGUCGAAUGAUCGAAUGCCAUUGAUUAAUUUCGGUGGAUAAGGAUAACGAGGUUGAGUAAAGUGAUAUCGGUGCUCGUGAAGGAAUGCCGUUGAACGCGUGCGCUAAUUAAAUAUAAGUAUACUAUUUGCCCGCGAAAGUGUUAACUCUCUAAUAAUUAUCAUGUCGUUCUAUUUGCCUCUUAUAUUAAGUAUUAUUACAUAUCUAUCAGACUAUUAAAAUUAUAUUACGAUUCUUUUCACCAAUUAUAUUACAUCUCAUAUUUCAAAUUAGAAAACCUGAAAUACCGACUGUAAUAAAUUAUAUUUUUAUCGCGAGUAAACAAAAUUUCAGUUUCAAUAUCAAUCUCAAUAUACACACACCAGUCCACCCCUCUCAAUUUAUUUAGAUAGGAUGCGACAUUUCGAAACAUAGUUUUAAGAAUUUUUUUUUCUUUUCUUUACUCUUAAUAUCAUAUGAUAAAUUAUCGUCGAAUCUCGUACAUUCAUAUUUUUUACAAUUGCAAUUUCGGAAUCGAUGGAGAAGAAAAACACGAAACACGAACGCGCGGAAUUUAUCUUCCGUUUCCUUCUUUCCACAUCCUCCCUCCUUUACCUCAUUUCACCAAAAAUUUCCAUCACGAUUUCUCCUUCGCCUCCUGUGUCCCUGCAUGCGGAGGUAUUCCGCCGAAAAAGCGGCGUGGCGCAUUCUCGUCGGCCGCUCUUUCGACCGUUCCUUCUCUCGCUUAAACCGUGCACACUCCCCUCGGCCGGUAUUAAACGGGGCUCGACCGUGGAAUCGCGUACGAGGCCACUCGUCUUGUUUGCCGCGCUUUAUACCUGCCUUUGCUCGCCGUGCCGUCCUCCUUUUUCCCCUCCACCCUCCGCGGAAUCGAACCCGCCAUAAUUACUUGGCAUCAUUUUUGUUCGGAUUAUUCACGCUGUUUAGCGAACCGUCACGGGGAUUCGUAGAGGAUUUCGAAUCGAGAGCGUUGGAUUGGUUAGAAAAGGCGACGGAGGUAAAAAGAUUCGAUUUCGAAGGGGCGAAGAGGGUUGGGCUCGACGACGUUUCCGCUUCCGCGUUGGACACGCGAGGGAAGAAACUCGUCUCGAUUUCGUAUUUCGAUGCGAUAAAACUUGCUACUUUUCCGAUAAAUCGAUCGUCGUCAAUGGUUUUAUAUAUAUAAAAUCGAUGAAUUUUUAUAAAAUAUUUUUUUCUUAUUAAUUUUUAUUUAUUUUUAAAACGUUAGAGUUAUACGUAAAGUUUGUAUAUCUAUCUACUUAAAACAUAUAUACACGCGAAAGCACAAAUUUAAGGAUCGUAUUCUAUCCAAUGUCAUAUAAACACACGUCCGGAAGUGUGGUUCCCAAGAUACAAACAGUGUUCGUUUACUUGGCAAGUUGAAGGAAUUACCAAAAGUGAUUUUCUGCUGUGUACGUUGACUACAGUUGAGUCAUCUGAUCAUAAAUAUUGAGAGUAGUAUUUACUACUAGUCCGAAAAACGUUGCGGUUUUAAACCUUUAAAUUUCAAACAAACUGUAAAUAUAAGUGUUAUUCGAAGGAAAGAAAAUGGUAAAGAGUAAAAAGGAAUAUACAUCGUAUAAAAAUAAAUUUAUAUUUGCUCGAUAAAAAAGAAGGAAAGAAAGAAAGAAAGAAAAAAAGAUAAGAUAAUUUUUAAAAGCUAAGAAAUUGAAAAGAAUCGUACAAGCAGAAUCGCUCGUUCGUCCACGACCUUGCGACUUUACGACCGUUUCCACGCGGAUCGACCUUCCUCUCUCGCCAGCUCGGAAGCCCCGACCAUUCUGGAAUUCCAAUUAAUCUCGCGUCGUUACGCGUUAAGUACGCGACCACCGAACUACGUUAUCGGCACGGGAAUAAAAACCACGGCCGGUGUAAAUUAACCGAACGAUUCGCCAAGAGACCCUCAUCCGUCCAAUAAUUGGCGAAUGCGAUUAGAUGGAAGAGAAGGGGAGGGGGCAGAGUAUGGAUCAGUCGGACUCGACGCGGACGAAGGACACCAUGUCCUUGCGACUCUACUACGACUCGGAAAUAAACACGUACGCCUCUCGUUUAUAUCCUUACGCUUAGGGGAUUGUCUGUCAGGGGGAGAGCAUCCCCAGGAUGCGAAAUUUCGAUUUAAUUUUCGAGGGUGCAAAAGAUUGAAGAUCGAGCGUUUAUUGGCGAUAAACGUUUCGAUAUCGUAUAUAUAUAUAUUCGUUAUAACCUUUCAAAUUAAUUUUUGAUAACUUCACUUAUCUUUUUUAAACAAUUUUUUCGCAUCGUCAACUUUUUCCCAAAAUCUCUAAUUUCAUUUCGAACACGCGCCAAGUGAUUUCAAAGUUAGAUAAAGGAGCGUGGCCCUAGAGGCGAGCGGGUACGUCGUUGCCCGUUUCUCUCGCGUGAAAUUUAAAGGCGGUCGCCUCUCCUCUCGGCCGUGGCGUUCGCGAGAAGGGACUGGGGGCCCUCGAUCGAUCGGUGCCCGCAUAGUCGCGAGCGUGUAGAGGCGGUUGUUUGUCGGCUGGACGGCCACCGUUGCCCGCCAUCGACGUCGUCUGGUGAAACCUCGCCACCGGCCUCGCCUACUAUACCUACGUUCCCUUUGGACAAACUUUUUAUUGCCGGAUUUUCCCUGUAAUCUCGAAUAAUUAACGACGAACCCCCUUGUACAACUAUGGGUUUACCGAGGUCGGCGGAGGAAGGCUCGACCUAUGAGAAGAGUAAGAACAAGAAGAAGAAGAAGAAAAAGGAAAGGAAGAAAAAAAAAAGGAGAGGUAUCCACGUAGGUCGUGGCAGUGUUCGGGUCUAUAAGACGACCACGCCACAGAAGAGACUUCCCUUGUCCCUCAUUCGACUUCCAACCCUCCCUCCCUCCCUCCCUUUUUUUCCCCUCCCUUUUUCUUCCUCCUCUAUGACCGUCCUGUUCGAUCCUUCCGAGAAAACAGCUCUCCGCGCGCUUCGCCUACCGCUAUACCUACGCCCGUUUUCCUCUUGGCCGUCGACUUAACGGCCGCACCUGCUACCACCUCGCCUCGUUUCGACGACCGACCGCGCGAAUUUCUUCCCUUCGACGUGCCCUCCCAACACGGACGAGACCGUAUUUCCGCUCGGCGAGCGCGCUUCCCUUUCAGACAAACUGGAAAUCCUUCCCCGCUUUUAACAUCGAUCGUGAAAAAAAUAAAAUUUUCUUUCCUCGCGAUUGUUUAAUUUUAUCGGUGUAAAUAUGUGAUUUUUUAAAAAUUACUUUUAAUCUUCUUCGAAAGUUCUCGCGGUUUUGGAAAAAGAGAUAUUUCGUUCGUGUGCACUCGUGGCAAUAAACGAAGUAAAGGAAAAUGCCCGAUGAUUAGGAAAGUUCAAUGGUUGGAUGACUAAUAAGAGAAAGUGUAAGAGGGACAAGGAUGAAUCAGAGAGGUUUAGAUUUGGCUAUCGCGAGUAGCUUUACGUUUUCGGUAUAGAACCCCAUAGAAAUGGCGUUUCGGUGGAGAAAUAUUAAUCUAUUACAAGAGUAUUCCGAAGAGAUUAAGAAUCUCUUCCGGGUAAAGCGUCGUGUUUGUCCCCCACUUGGAGGCAAUCUUUAAAGAGAUAGAUCGCCAGUUGAGGAGAUUAUCGGUUCCAGUGCUCGAUCAAAGAUCAAGUUCGGGAACGAGGCUGUAAAUAACUUUCUACCUCUCAGCCAUUGACGCUUCGUGAAUUCUUGGCGAAUUUUCUCUUGCGAUUUUAACCCAUCCCUAAUUCGUAUCACAAUCGAGAACCCGUCUUCGAAUCUCGUCUAAAGAUCUCUCGGAAUAAUAUUCCAAUCCUAACUAAAUUUCCCAAUCUUUUUCUCCCGAUAAAUAAAAUUAAAUUAUAAUAUUAAUUAUCACACGAUUUCACGAUCAUCGAAAAGUAAUAAUAAAAAAAAAUUUUUCUACAUAUUUUUAAAAGUCAGAUCUUUAUUUUUCGUCGUAUAAAAUUAAAUUCCGCGUGAAAAUCGGAUAUUCCAAAAAUAAUACCAACGCGAUAGCCACAGCACAAUCUAAACGCAAUGGAAACUCGAAGAAGAAGAAGAAGAAGAAGAGGAAUGGUGAUCGAGUGGCUCGAGGAAGGACGCACCCCGAUAUAAAUCGAGAAGGACACCGGUUGGCGUUACGUAAUCGACGAUGGCGAAGGCGGCUCGCGUUCUCUUUAUCCUUUUCCUUCCAACCGGGGCCUUCGUCGCGCUCUCUCUCUCUCUCUCUCUCUCGCUCCCUUCUCAGAUCGCAUUUUCAAGUUACGAAUGCUCGCGCGUCUACGACACCGGCGUUGUUCCUUUUUCCUCGUGAAUAAGCGGAUAUAUUGCAUAAGGCUGGCGAGCGCAACUACCUGUCGUACGCUCCAGAGAUGUUAUAUUUAACCGUGCGGACCCAUCGCACCACCGCCUCUCUCUCUCUCUCUCUCUCUACGGUCGUACUUUUUCCCUUAACCGCCUCGCGAGACCGUUCGCCUUCUAAUUUUAGAGGUUUUCGAUUAUGUAAUGCGCGUGUCGUUACCGAACUAGAAGAGGGGUAUCGUGUGUACAGGCAACCAUCCGUGGAAUUGCAAUCGAGCAUCCGUUCGAUUUUCUACCGUUGUAUCCCGGCCUUUGUUCAACCUUUUAAAUUAGAAUUCGUAAUUCGAAAGUAGGAUACGAGUAAACGUUUAUUGAAAAUUUUUCGUACCGAUUGAUCGUCCUCUCUCGUUUCCUCUUCGUGAAAAAAUUAAAUUUUUCUUUCCAAAUAUUUUUCUAUCGAUUAUCUUUAUAAAAUGGGGAUUCGAUUAACGGAUUUAAAGUCAACAAGUGUCUGUGUAACGCUUAAAAGAUCCAUCCAUCGACGAGUGACUGAUGUUUAUUAAACGAAUCAUUAAGUCACGCGAUAGAAGCAAGUUAAUCCACCAUAUUCGCCUGUCCCUUUAUGUUUGCACAUAGGGUGCGUCACACGGAGAGAGAGAACGAUAUACCUUCGGGCAAUAAUCACACCUUGGCCACCCUCGAAUCUCGAAACUUCGUAUUUAUGAUCAAUCUCGUUAAAGAAGAUGGCUCUUUUUAAUUUAUUUUUAUCAUAAAGAUAAAAUAUACGAUAUAAAUAUUUUGAAAAAUGAUAUAAAGUUCGAUUCAAAAUUCUAAUUAAAAAAUAAAGGAACGUUUAAUUUAACAACACCCUUUCCACCCCUGCUCGAACACGAUCGUCUGACGAACGAGAAUAUAUAUGCAAUCUAUUUUCGCGAAUUCACGUCAGCGCGACGCUGAAACUGCGUCACUACGGGAUUUCCUGACAUUAAGACCCGAUCCCUGGCUUCCCAGCAACUGGUCAAGCGAUGCAAACGCCAUCACGUUCGCGAAAAAUUAAUAAACCCCGCAGAUUCGCGAAAUCCCUAGAGAAUAAUAACCGAGGGAUCCGAAGAGAGAGAGAGAGAGAGAGAGAGAGAAAUCGGACAGAAAAUUUCCAUCGAAAAUGACGCUAGAUGUACGACGAAAACGAUAGCGAGUCGUUUACGAUAACAUCGCGAACUUCAUAACAUUAAUCUCGUAGCGAAUAGCGUAGAAAGCGAAAUGACGAUAUGUGUAAGGAAUUAAAGAGAUAUUAUCAGAUGGAAAUAUUCUAAUUGUAAUGUGUGAACUUAUUUGUAAAUAUUUAUUGAAAUAUAUAAUCUUUGUUGUUAUUACGAUAUUUAGAUUUAAUGAGAAUACUUUCCGAAGUGACCUAGAAAUCGAUUAAAUUUCACUGAGAAAUUGAAAUGAUGUGUAUAUUAAAUAGAUGCACUUGUAAUCAAGAUAUUCUUAGAUCAUGUCGCAAAUAAUCUUAUACAAAUAUGUAUUAUAUUAAAUAUUCUGAUCGUAAAUUUUGAGAAAUAUACAUAAUCGAAAUAUUUAGACAUUAUUAUAUAUCAAUAUAUCGAUCAUUAUUCUAAACUUGUCAACAUAUUUUCGCCCGAUAGAAAAUUAUAGAAAACGAUCGCGACGAUCGAUCGUCUCACAACGGAAUACGAGGCGUUCUCUUUAAACGAUUCGUAUAAUUCGCGAAGAAGGCGGUGGACAGGCAAGUGAGCCACCGCCUCCUGUCGAAUUCUUUUUCUUUCCAAACCGAGUGACCUUUACAUUCCUAAUCGUGACCACGCGAAUUCUUGCUACGUCCUUUCGGCGUACCUGCGGAAGACGAGAGCGGCGUGUGGCCGCGCCAUUUCCAGCGCGCAUGCCUUCUGGCCAUCUCAGCGGGCUCCUCUCUCUCUCUCUCUCUCUCUCGCUCCCUCUUUCUCGCUCCCUCUCUCUCGCUCUUCCUAUUCGUCGCCGCGCGUUCGUGUCCGUGGUUCGUGUUCGUGAGAGAGGCUGCAGCAGCCUCUGACGGGAAGGGCACGAUCGGAAAAUUAACGACCCCUCGAGCGUUAACUCCCGACUCCGAGGUCGGUUCUCGGUCCGCUCGUUCGUUAAGUCCCUCCUCGAGUUCUCGCGACUCACGCCGCGUUUUCAGCUAUCGCCGUUCCUCUCUUCACCCCGGGUACCCUUCCACCCGUGGCUCUCUGCCCGCUACACCCCCCCCUCCGUUCCCUCGGCUGCCCGUUUCACGUCCUCCCCGUCCCCGUACCCCGCCACGGUCGUCUGUGUCGGGUUCCUCUUGGCGUUCUCCGCUUACUGCCACCACCACUAUCUCCCUCUCUCUCGUUCUCGCGCGGACGCACCGUCUGUCCGUCUCUCUCUCGCUCUCGCUCUUUCAUUUUACGCUUCUCUCUCUCUCUCUCUCUCUCUCUCGCUCGCGUUCUCGUUCGCUCGGUUAGUCCGUUCUCGGUCUCGCUCGCAUCGUUCCUUUCCCCUAACCAUCGCUAACGGGUCUACCCCCCGAGCUACGAAUCGGAGAUUGGCGGAGAGACCGGUCGAUUAUCUAUAAUCGAUAGGAACUACCGGUAUAUUGGUGUAUACGCGGUGCGUGGCGCGCCGUGGAUGCCACGCAGAGAGCGACCGGCUUAAAUACGCGAGCUGGACACACACCGCGAAACUCUACGCCCGCGAACUAUGACGAGCGAGGGUUUAAUUAGGGGAAUAUCGCGUGACGAUCGUUGGGAAGAUUGCUUCGUAUAAGAAGUGGAGCGAGAGUAAUGCAACUCUCGGGCUUAGAUGAUUGAAAUAAACCUGUCCGACAAGGGUGGAUGAAUUGUGAGAUGUAUCGAGGUAACUGGGCUUCGCGAUUAAUUAACCGAAGCAAUGCAAUUAAUGUAUAAUUACUACUAGGGAUAUCUUUUUUCUUUCUUUCUUUCUUUUUUUUUUUUUGGUAUAACGUUAAGAAAUUUGAGAACCGAGUGAAAAAAAUCUUAAGUUUAUAAUGUUAUUUGAAGAUUUGUUUUUUUAAUUCGUACAAAUUAUUUAUCAUUCAACGAAAUAAAUGCAUCAAUCGACAUUCCGAUAAAUUCGGAAAACGAGAAUCCAAUCCAAUUUGAAUUUAACGAUAUGUUUACAUAUUAAUGAAAUCAUCUAGAAUCUGUAUAUCAUCGAAUUCAAAAUUAUUCAACGAUAAAACGUUGACAUCGAAAAAUUUGAAUUCAAGAUCGAGCGUGAAAAUUUGAAACGUUAGGCGACAGCAGCGCGCAACGAAUUAGCAACGUUCGUUUUUAUCCGGGUUAUAUCGCAGUUGCCUCGUGGCCUGGGGCCGAGCAGGUGGUUCGUGCCACGAGUUAUUGCGGUAAACGAUAUGCGCUUCCUCGAAGGAAUUAGCCACGACAAUGGCCCGAUUAAAUUUCGUAACAGUUCCCUCCCUCACCAGUUAUCUCACACUCGGAAUAACAAUUUUGAACAUUUCGAAGAAACCACGCUCAAAACUUUUCAUAGAAUUUAAUCUGAAAUAACCUUCGACUGGUUUCGCGGCCGAUCGUUAUUCCGGUUCACGGAUCCGCUCGACGAUAUCGCGAGGCAACCGCGCGUAUCCUCGACGACGAAGAAGAGGAGGAGGAGGA
Molecule: long non-coding RNA, 23523 nt
Organism: Apis mellifera (honey bee)
Lineage: Eukaryota; Metazoa; Arthropoda; Insecta; Hymenoptera; Apidae
Exons: 2
Source: RefSeq, a predicted model, not a curated record